This is a non-coding RNA of Solanum lycopersicum (tomato), 1228 nucleotides long. The record is from RefSeq and is a predicted model, not a curated record. NCBI's taxonomy places the organism in Eukaryota, Viridiplantae, Streptophyta, Magnoliopsida, Solanales, Solanaceae.
CAUAAUGCCCGGAUAAGUCAACUAACAUAGUUAUAGAUCUCGAGAAAAGAAAACAAGCACUGAGCCAUUGACAAUAGAAAAAGAAAAAUGUUCCCUCCCGAAUAUUUUCCAACGAUUCUGUUGUUGGCUUUGCUCUUUUUCAAUUUGUUUGAAAUAUCUUUGAUGGAAACUGUUAUGAAAUGGGCAUAGACAGUUUUCUUCAGAAGCUUCUCUUUGAAAAAAAAUACAACAAUUGGAAUAUAAUGUGUCAAUAAUAAUCUUAAUUAAGCCCGCGGAUUUUGAAAAAUUUAGAGAAGACGACACAGCGUUCGGAAUUGACUCACCGAUAAAUUUUCCGUCCAUAUCUGGGGCCACUGUAAUCGAGCCAUUAGAGACCAAAAAAAGUACCUGCGCCAUGGAAGAAUUGAACGCUAAUGAGGAGAUUCGAAGGACAAUAAACCCUAGGAGGAAGAAGGAUUUGCGUGGUCCCGUACCCUUCAUUAUCAUCAUCUGCGGCACUCUCGUUUACUACCACUGUGUUUAUCGGAAUGCCAGUAUCGUCUCUCUCGUCUCUGACGUCUUUACUGUAAUCCUUUGCUCCCUCGCCAUUCUCGGACUCCUGUAUCGCCAGAUGAACAUUUCGGUUCCUGUGGAUCCACUAGAAUGGCAGAUCUCACAGAACACUGCGAAUCGCGUCCUUGCCUGCAUUGCUAAUACUAUCGGUGCUGCUGAGUCUGUUCUCCGCGUUUCUGCUACUGGACAUGAUAAGCGCUUGUUCGUUAAGGUUGUGGUUACUCUUUAUGUGCUAUCAGUUUUGGGAAGGAUAGCAUCAGGCGUUACUGUUGCCUAUGCCGAACCUGAUCGCCAUGUCAAACUGUACAAAUUUGCACCAAAUCCUGCAUCUAUUAGCCAUCCAGUAGACCAAUACCAUUCACAGCUGAGUGAUAAGAAAAUAAUGGAGGGCAAGUGACUUGAAGAAGGACCUGGUACCAUGGACUUUCUAUUUGGAAAUCAGCCGUGUCAGUGACAUUCUAAGCAAUGAUGCAAACUAAUUAUGAAGCUGCUAAUAAAUUCAAUCACAGUCCUUGGCCAAGAAAAGGUGGUCACAUUUGCAAGUUAGCAGGUUCCAAAAUCCUAACAUCCAAAACUGCAGAAAAUACUUGCAGUAUCUAAAGGUCUAUCUUCACAUACCUGAUGAAACAUUGCCAUGCCACACUCACAGAGACGAGAAUUCAAUUCAGCAUCGAGC